This 2912-nucleotide ribosomal RNA is filed under the name Vibrio parahaemolyticus. Its description in RNAcentral is "bacterial LSU rRNA". It matches the Rfam family "Bacterial large subunit ribosomal RNA". The record is from RNAcentral. Lineage: Bacteria; Pseudomonadati; Pseudomonadota; Gammaproteobacteria; Vibrionales; Vibrionaceae.
GUUGUAUGGUUAAGUGACUAAGCGUACACGGUGGAUGCCUUGGCAGUCAGAGGCGAUGAAAGACGUAGUAACUUGCGAUAAGCCCAGAUUAGGUAGUAACAACCAUUUGAGUCUGGGAUUUCUGAAUGGGGAAACCCACGUGCAUAAGCACGUAUCCUUACCUGAAUACAUAGGGUAAGGAGGCGAACCGGGGGAACUGAAACAUCUAAGUACCCCGAGGAAAAGAAAUCAACCGAGAUUCCGAAAGUAGCGGCGAGCGAAAUUGGACUAGCCCUUAAGCUUUACACGCGUUAGACGAACGGUCUGGGAAGUCCGACGAUACAGGGUGAUAGUCCCGUAGUUGACGACGUGUGUUCAGUGAAAUCGAGUAGGGCGGGACACGUGAUAUCCUGUCUGAAUAUGGGGGGACCAUCCUCCAAGGCUAAAUACUACUGACUGACCGAUAGUGAACCAGUACCGUGAGGGAAAGGCGAAAAGAACCCCUGUGAGGGGAGUGAAAUAGAACCUGAAACCGUGUACGUACAAGCAGUAGGAGCAGGCUUUGUCCUGUGACUGCGUACCUUUUGUAUAAUGGGUCAGCGACUUAUAUUCAGUGGCAAGGUUAACCAUCUAGGGGAGCCGUAGGGAAACCGAGUCUUAACUGGGCGUUCAGUCUCUGGAUAUAGACCCGAAACCAGGUGAUCUAGCCAUGGGCAGGUUGAAGGUUGAGUAACAUCAACUGGAGGACCGAACCGACUAAUGUUGAAAAAUUAGCGGAUGACUUGUGGCUAGGGGUGAAAGGCCAAUCAAACCUGGAGAUAGCUGGUUCUCCCCGAAAGCUAUUUAGGUAGCGCCUCGGACGAAUACUACUGGGGGUAGAGCACUGUUAAGGCUAGGGGGUCAUCCCGACUUACCAACCCUUUGCAAACUCCGAAUACCAGUAAGUACUAUCCGGGAGACACACGGCGGGUGCUAACGUCCGUCGUGGAGAGGGAAACAACCCAGACCGCCAGCUAAGGUCCCAAAUUACUACUAAGUGGGAAACGAUGUGGGAAGGCUCAGACAGCCAGGAUGUUGGCUUAGAAGCAGCCAUCAUUUAAAGAAAGCGUAAUAGCUCACUGGUCGAGUCGGCCUGCGCGGAAGAUGUAACGGGGCUAAGUAGUAAACCGAAGCUGCGGCAAUAUACUUUUGUAUAUUGGGUAGGGGAGCGUUCUGUAAGCGGUUGAAGGUGUGUGGUAACGCAUGCUGGACGUAUCAGAAGUGCGAAUGCUGACAUGAGUAACGAUAAAGGGGGUGAAAAACCUCCUCGCCGGAAGACCAAGGGUUCCUGUCCAACGUUAAUCGGGGCAGGGUAAGUCGACCCCUAAGGCGAGGCCGAAAGGCGUAGUCGAUGGGAAACGGGUUAAUAUUCCCGUACUUCUUACAAUUGCGAUGGGGGGACGGAGAAGGCUAGGUGGGCCUGGCGACGGUUGUCCAGGUUCAAGUGCGUAGGCUUAAGAGUUAGGUAAAUCCGGCUCUUUCUAAGGCUGAGACACGACGUCGAGCAUCUACGGAUGUGAAGUCAUUGAUGCCAUGCUUCCAGGAAAAGCCUCUAAGCUUCAGAUUGUAAGGAAUCGUACCCCAAACCGACACAGGUGGUCGGGUAGAGAAUACCAAGGCGCUUGAGAGAACUCGGGUGAAGGAACUAGGCAAAAUGGUACCGUAACUUCGGGAGAAGGUACGCUCUUGAUGGUGAAGUCCCUCGCGGAUGGAGCUGACGAGAGUCGCAGAUACCAGGUGGCUGCAACUGUUUAUUAAAAACACAGCACUGUGCAAAAUCGUAAGAUGACGUAUACGGUGUGACGCCUGCCCGGUGCCGGAAGGUUAAUUGAUGGGGUUAGACUUCGGUCGAAGCUCUUGAUCGAAGCCCCGGUAAACGGCGGCCGUAACUAUAACGGUCCUAAGGUAGCGAAAUUCCUUGUCGGGUAAGUUCCGACCUGCACGAAUGGCGUAAUGAUGGCCACGCUGUCUCCACCCGAGACUCAGUGAAAUUGAAAUCGCUGUGAAGAUGCAGUGUACCCGCGGCUAGACGGAAAGACCCCGUGAACCUUUACUACUGGCACUGAACAUUGACCCUACAUGUGUAGGAUAGGUGGGAGGCUUUGAAGCACGUACGCCAGUAUGUGUGGAGCCGUCCUUGAAAUACCACCCUUGUAGUGUUGAUGUUCUAACGUCGACCCCUUAUCGGGGUUGCGGACAGUGCCUGGUGGGUAGUUUGACUGGGGCGGUCUCCUCCCAAAGAGUAACGGAGGAGCACGAAGGUGGGCUAAUCACGGUUGGACAUCGUGAGGUUAGUGCAAUGGCAUAAGCCCGCUUGACUGCGAGAAUGACAAUUCGAGCAGGUGCGAAAGCAGGUCAUAGUGAUCCGGUGGUUCUGAAUGGAAGGGCCAUCGCUCAACGGAUAAAAGGUACUCCGGGGAUAACAGGCUGAUACCGCCCAAGAGUUCAUAUCGACGGCGGUGUUUGGCACCUCGAUGUCGGCUCAUCACAUCCUGGGGCUGAAGUCGGUCCCAAGGGUAUGGCUGUUCGCCAUUUAAAGUGGUACGCGAGCUGGGUUUAGAACGUCGUGAGACAGUUCGGUCCCUAUCUGCCGUGGGCGUUGGAAGAUUGAAGGGGGCUGCUCCUAGUACGAGAGGACCGGAGUGGACGAACCUCUGGUGUUCGGGUUGUGUCGCCAGACGCAUUGCCCGGUAGCUAAGUUCGGAAUCGAUAACCGCUGAAAGCAUCUAAGCGGGAAGCGAGCCCUGAGAUGAGUCUUCCCUGAUACUUUAAGUAUCCUAAAGGGUUGUCGGAGACUACGACGUUGAUAGGUCAGGUGUGUAAGUGCUGUGAGGCAUUGAGCUAACUGAUACUAAUUGCCCGUGAGGCUUAACCAUACAACACCCAAGGGGUUU